RNAcentral lists this ribosomal RNA (379 nucleotides) under uncultured eukaryote. Its description in RNAcentral is "partial 18S ribosomal RNA". It matches the Rfam family "Eukaryotic small subunit ribosomal RNA", at positions 592 to 975 of the family's 1831-position model. The record is from RNAcentral.
CAAUAGCGUAUAUUAAAGUUGUUGCAGUUAAAAGGCUCGUAGUUGGAUUUGUGGUGUACUUUGGCGGCCCGUCACACUGUGAUGGAGCUUGCUGAAGUCGCCAUCCUUGGGUGGAUCCUGUGUGGCAUUAAGUUGUCGUGCAGGGGAUGCCCAUCGUUUACUGUGAAAAAAUUAGAGUGUUCAAAGCAGGCUUAUGCCGUUGAAUAUAUUAGCAUGGAAUAAUAAGAUAGGACCUUGGUACUAUUUUGUUGGUUUGCGCACCAAGGUAAUGAUUAAUAGGGACAGUUGGGGGUAUUCGUAUUUCAUUGUCAGAGGUGAAAUUCUUGGAUUUUUGAAAGACGAACUACUGCGAAAGCAUUUACCAAGGAUGUUUUCAUUA